AAUUAUUUAUUUGAUGGUUUCUUACUACAUGGAUAACCGUAGUAAUUCUAGAGCUAAUACAUGCGUAAAGUCCCGACUCUCGCGGGGAGGGAUGUAUUUAUUAGAUUAAAAACCAAUGCGGCCUUUGGUCGGUUUUGUGUUGAUUCAUAGUAACUUUUCGGAUCGCAUGGCUUCACGCCGGCGACAGUUCAUUCAAAUUUCUGCCCUAUCAGCUUUCGACGGUAGUGUAGUGGACUACCGUGGCAUUUACGGGUGACGGAGAAUUAGGGUUCGAUUCCAGAGAGGGAGCCUGAGAAACGGCUACCACA
This 308-nucleotide ribosomal RNA is filed under the name uncultured eukaryote. RNAcentral describes it as "SSU rRNA". It matches the Rfam family "Eukaryotic small subunit ribosomal RNA", at positions 111 to 414 of the family's 1831-position model. The record is from RNAcentral.